RNAcentral lists this ribosomal RNA (426 nucleotides) under uncultured Pseudomonadaceae bacterium. RNAcentral's name for it is "bacterial SSU rRNA". It matches the Rfam family "Bacterial small subunit ribosomal RNA", at positions 356 to 774 of the family's 1533-position model. The record is from RNAcentral. Lineage: Bacteria; Pseudomonadati; Pseudomonadota; Gammaproteobacteria; Pseudomonadales; Pseudomonadaceae.
GGGGAAUAUUUGACAAUGGGCGAAAGCCUGAUCCAGCCCUGCCGCGUGUGUGAAGAAGGGCUUCGGAUUUUAAAGCAAUUUAAGUUGGGAGGGAGGGUUUCUUGCUAAUUUCCAGGAAAUUUUACGUUACCGGCUGAAUAAGCACCGGCCAACUUCGUGCCAGCAGCCGCGGUAAUACGAAGGGUGCAAGCGUUAAUCGGAAUUACUGGGCGUAAAGCGCGCGUAGGUGGUUCGUUAAGUUGGAUGUGAAAGCCCCGGGCUCAACCUGGGAACUGCAUCCAAAACUGGCGAGCUAGAGUAUGGCAGAGGGUGGUGGAAUUUCCUGUGUAGCGGUGAAAUGCGUAGAUAUAGGAAGGAACACCAGUGGCGAAGGCGACCACCUGGGCUAAUACUGACACUGAGGUGCGAAAGCGUGGGGAGCAAACA